This 280-nucleotide long non-coding RNA is filed under the name Lathyrus oleraceus (garden pea). RNAcentral's name for it is "Pisum sativum (pea) long non-coding RNA (PSAT_LNC014076)". The record is from RNAcentral. Lineage: Eukaryota; Viridiplantae; Streptophyta; Magnoliopsida; Fabales; Fabaceae.
AAGUACUGACUUGAUUUGUUUAUAUAAAAGUCUAUGUCAGAUCUUUUGUGUGUAAAAUAUUGUAACCCUUAUAUAGCGUGUCUAAACACAAUUGGUUCUUGCAUUUUUCUCUCUCUCAAUAGUGAUGUGUUUCCUUGUAAUCAUGUGUGUUGGACAAGAUGAGGCAAUCUCCAUGUGGAAUUUCUUUAGCAAUUUACCUAUGUACUUAAACUACUUAAGAUACAUACCACUUGCAUCUUUUUGAUCCUCUAUUCCCAACAAAUAGCGAAAAACACUUAGA